This 388-nucleotide ribosomal RNA is filed under the name uncultured soil bacterium. Its description in RNAcentral is "bacterial SSU rRNA". It matches the Rfam family "Bacterial small subunit ribosomal RNA", at positions 26 to 408 of the family's 1533-position model. The record is from RNAcentral.
AGAUUGAACGCUGGCGGCAUGCCUUACACAUGCAAGUCGAACGGCAGCACGGGAGCAAUCCUGGUGGCGAGUGGCGAACGGGUGAGUAAUACAUCGGAACGUGCCCAAUCGUGGGGGAUAACGCAGCGAAAGCUGUGCUAAUACCGCAUAAGAUCUACGGAUGAAAGCAGGGGAUCGCAAGACCUUGCGCGAAUGGAGCGGCCGAUGGCAGAUUAGGUAGUUGGUGAGGUAAAGGCUCACCAAGCCUUCGAUCUGUAGCUGGUCUGAGAGGACGACCAGCCACACUGGGACUGAGACGACGGCCCAGACUCCUACGGGAGGCAGCAGGUGGGAAUUUUGGACAAGUGGGACGAAAGCCGUAGAUCCGACGCCAUCGCCGCGUGCGAGG